UUGAAAAGAACUUUGAAGAGAGAGUUCAAGAGUACGUGAAACCGUUCAGGGGUAAACCUAAGAAACCCAAAAGAUCGAACGGGGAGAUUCAUCGUCAGCGACGCUGGCCUCACGUCGGUGGGCGAUGCGGCGCCCGGGGCCCGUUCGCGCGGGUUCUCCCGGUUGCGCUCGCACGCCGCCGCGCGUCGACGUCCGGCGUUCGUCGUCGUGCACUUCUCCCCUUAGUAGAACGUCGCGACCCGCUGGGUGUCGGUCUACGGCUCGGGUGCGGUGUCUCAUGCGUGGCCGAACCCCCGGUAAAACGGGGGCACGCGUGAAACCCCCGGUCGCCCGGCCGGCUGCCCGGCGGUACGCGCAUGGUAUCAGGCCGCAGCUCUCGCACGACGCCGCGGCGCGUCGCUCUGCCUCUCCCUCGUGUUCUCUCGUCUCUCGUUGUGCGCCACGUGCGUGCGGCGGGGGCGCGAUGCGCGCGGGGUGGUAGGGUGCGCGUUCGCGCGUUCCGUCGUUGCUCGACCGAGCGUGCGUCGAGGCCGUCGCAAGCGAGCGCCACUUUCGCCGAGCGCGGCGCGCGCUCGCUCGCGCGCCCCGGUGGUCAAACACCGGUCGCGCGGUGCGCGCGCGCGUCCGCGGGAUCGUCCGACGGACCUAGCGCCGUCAACGGUCCUGGCCCGCUGUUGGCUUCUGACGGUACGGGGGGUUGGGUGCGCCGCGUGCGUGCGGGGGGUGUGGUUUUUCCUUCCUCGGAAGGGAAGCUUCUCUCUCUCACCGCGCGCGCGCUCUUCCUCUCACACCUUCGACAGGCCCGCAAACGCGUCCCUCGCGCCGCGCGGUCCCGCUCGCUUCGCGCGCGCUCCGUUCCCGCUCUUCGCGGAGUGGGUCGGUGGUGCCGCGUGGAGCCGGGUUGGGGUCCGUUGCGCGCGCGCUGGGACCGCGAUACCGGUCGGCGACGCUACUGCUUUGGGUACUCUUAGGACCCGUCUUGAAACACGGACCAAGGAGUCUAACAUGUACGCGAGUCAUUGGGGACUUGUUAAAAACUGGUUAAACCUAAAGGCGCAAUGAAAGUGAAGGUCGGCCCUGGUCGUCGACCGAGGGAGGAUGGGCCGCGCGCGUCGCUUGGCGUGUAACGCGGCUCCGCACUCCCGGGGCGUCUCGUUCUCAUCGCGAGGAGAGGCGCACCCAGAGCGUACACGUUGGGACCCGAAAGAUGGUGAACUAUGCCUGGUCAGGACGAAGUCAGGGGAAACCCUGAUGGAGGUCCGUAGCGAUUCUGACGUGCAAAUCGAUCGUCGGAACUGGGUAUAGGGGCGAAAGACUAAUCGAACCAUCUAGUAGCUGGUUCCCUCCGAAGUUUCCCUCAGGAUAGCUGGCACUCGGCCGUUCCCACGAACGUGGAACGAGCGCGAGUCUCAUCUGGUAAAGCGAAUGAUUAGAGGCCUUGGGGCCGAAACGACCUCAACCUAUUCUCAAACUUUAAAUGGGUGAGAUCUCUGGCUUUCUUGAACUGUGAAGCCACGAGCAUCUUCUCAAUCGGAUCGGAGUGCCAAGUGGGCCAUUUUUGGUAAGCAGAACUGGCGCUGUGGGAUGAACCAAACGCAGAGUUAAGGCGCCCAACUCGACGCUCAUGGGACACCAUGAAAGGCGUUGGUUGCUUAAGACAGCAGGACGGUGGCCAUGGAAGUCGGAAUCCGCUAAGGAGUGUGUAACAACUCACCUGCCGAAGCAACUAGCCCUGAAAAUGGAUGGCGCUGAAGCGUCGAGCCUAUACUCUGCCGUCAGCGGCAAGUGGGGCGGGGUGUGCGCGUGCGCGCGAGCGCGCGCGCGCGUCCCGCCACGAGGCCCUGACGAGUAGGAGGGUCGCGGCGGUGUGCGCAGAAGGGUCU
This 1883-nucleotide ribosomal RNA is filed under the name Monomorium concolor. RNAcentral describes it as "partial 28S ribosomal RNA". The stretch from base 991 to 1883 matches the Rfam family "Eukaryotic large subunit ribosomal RNA", at positions 665 to 1413 of the family's 3401-position model. The record is from RNAcentral. Lineage: Eukaryota; Metazoa; Arthropoda; Insecta; Hymenoptera; Formicidae.